CAGCAGCCGCGGUAAUACGUAGGGUGCAAGCGUUAUCCGGAAUUAUUGGGCGUAAAGAGCUCGUAGGCGGUUUGUCGCGUCGGGAGUGAAAACCAGCAGCUUAACUGCUGGCCUGCUUUCGAUACGGGCAGACUUGAGGCAUUCAGGGGAGAACGGAAUUCCUGGUGUAGCGGUGAAAUGCGCAGAUAUCAGGAGGAACACCGGUGGCGAAGGCGGUUCUCUGGGAAUGUUCUGACGCUGAGGAGCGAAAGUGUGGGGAGCGAACAGGAUUAGAUACCCGCGUAGUCCCUGUCUCUUAUAC
This 301-nucleotide ribosomal RNA is filed under the name uncultured bacterium. RNAcentral's name for it is "partial 16S ribosomal RNA". It matches the Rfam family "Bacterial small subunit ribosomal RNA", at positions 509 to 807 of the family's 1533-position model. The record is from RNAcentral.